AUUACUGAGUUUACGCUCUAUAACCCUUUGUGAACAUACCUAUAACUGUUGCUUCGGCGGGUAGGGUCUCCGUGACCCUCCCGGCCUCCCGCCCCCGGGCGGGUCGGCGCCCGCCGGAGGAUAACCAAACUCUGAUUUAACGACGUUUCUUCUGAGUGGUACAAGCAAAUAAUCAAAACUUUUAACAACGGAUCUCUUGGUUCUGGCAUCGAUGAAGAACGCAGCGAAAUGCGAUAAGUAAUGUGAAUUGCAGAAUUCAGUGAAUCAUCGAAUCUUUGAACGCACAUUGCGCCCGCCAGCAUUCUGGCGGGCAUGCCUGUUCGAGCGUCAUUUCAACCCUCAAGCUCUGCUUGGUGUUGGGGCCCUACAGCUGAUGUAGGCCCUCAAAGGUAGUGGCGGACCCUCCCGGAGCCUCCUUUGCGUAGUAACUUUACGUCUCGCACUGGGAUCCGGAGGGACUCUUGCCGUAAAACCCCCAAUUUUCCAAAGGUUGACCUCGGAUCAGGUAGGAAUACCCGCUGAACUUAAGCAUAUCAAUAAGCGGAGGAAAAGAAACCAACAGGGAUUGCCUCAGUAACGGCGAGUGAAGCGGCAACAGCUCAAAUUUGAAAUCUGGCC
RNAcentral lists this ribosomal RNA (618 nucleotides) under fungal endophyte. RNAcentral describes it as "eukaryotic LSU rRNA". The stretch from base 177 to 330 matches the Rfam family "5.8S ribosomal RNA". The record is from RNAcentral. Lineage: Eukaryota; Fungi.